RNAcentral lists this ribosomal RNA (425 nucleotides) under uncultured bacterium. RNAcentral describes it as "partial 16S ribosomal RNA". It matches the Rfam family "Bacterial small subunit ribosomal RNA", at positions 354 to 796 of the family's 1533-position model. The record is from RNAcentral.
GUGGGGAAUCUUGCGCAAUGGGCGAAAGCCUGACGCAGCCAUGCCGCGUGAAUGAUGAAGGUCUUAGGAUUGUAAAAUUCUUUCACCGGGGACGAUAAUGACGGUACCCGGAGAAGAAGCUCCGGCUAACUUCGUGCCAGCAGCCGCGGUAAUUCGAAGGGGGCUAGCGUUGCUCGGAAUUACUGGGCGUAAAGGGCGCGUAGGCGGACAGCUUAGUCAGAGGUGAAAGCCCAGGGCUCAACCUUGGAAUUGCCUUUGAUACUGGCUGUCUUGAGUUUGGGAGAGGUGUGUGGAACUCCGAGUGUAGAGGUGAAAUUCGUAGAUAUUCGGAAGAACACCAGUGGCGAAGGCGACUCACUGGCCCAAUACUGACGCUGAGGCGCGAAAGCGUGGGGAGCAAACAGGAUUAGAUACCCGUGUAGUCC